Long non-coding RNA from Oncorhynchus tshawytscha (Chinook salmon), 675 nucleotides. NCBI's taxonomy places the organism in Eukaryota, Metazoa, Chordata, Actinopteri, Salmoniformes, Salmonidae. The record is from Ensembl.
AAGGAGGUCCUGGGAGGAGAUGUGGAGACACAGGGAGGGAGGUCCUGGGAGGAGAUGUGGAGACACAGGGAGGGAGGUCCUGGAAAGAGAGGUGGAGACACAAGGAGGAAGGCCUUGGAAGGAGAUGUGGAGACAUGGAGACACGGAGAGGGAGGUCCUGGGAGGAGACAUGGAGAAACAGAAAGGGAGGUCCUGGGAGGAGACAUGGAGAAACAGAAAGGGAGGUCCUGGGAGGAGACAUGGAGAAACAGAAAGGGAGGUCCUGGGAGGAGACAUGGAGAAACAGAAAGGGAGGUCCUGGGAGGAGACAUGGAGAAACAGAAAGGGAGGUCCUGGGAGGAGACAUGGAGACACAGAGAGGGAGGUCCUGGGAGGAGACAUGGAGACACAGAGAGGGAGGUCCUGGGAGGAGACAUGGAGACACGGAGAGACAGAGAGGGAGGUCCUGGCGUGGCUGCUGCUAGUCUACACAGACUCCUCUGCUUCCUCUUUAAUCAGUAACCAGAGGAGGAAGGGGCGGGGCGGAGGGAGGGAAGGAGGGCGACUGGGGGUUAGGACCAGACUCCCCUAAUUACAUGUACUGUACAGUAACGCAUUAUACACUGCUGACCAAUACCUGACCAAUACUGUACUGUAGAAACAUUGUAGAACACAGAUAAUAUCAAUUUACAAUAU